CCUACGGGUGGCAGCAGUGAGGAAUCUUGGUCAAUGGACGCAAGUCUGAACCAGCCAUGCCGCGUGCAGGAUGACGGCCCUAUGAGUUGUAAACUUCUUUUGUAUGGGAGUAAACCCGUCAACGUGUAUGGUGUUGUAUGUACCGUAUGAAUCAGGAUCGGCUAACUCCGUGCCAGCAGCCGCGGUAAUACGGAGGAUCCGAGCGUUAUCCGGAUUUAUUGGGUUGAAAGGGUGCGUAGGCGGGUUGUUAAGUCAGAUGUGAAAGGUUGCGGUUCAACCGAAAAAUUGCAUUUGAUACUGGUAGACUUGAGAACAGUAGAGGUAGGCGGAAUGCAUGGUGUAGCGGUGAAAUGCUUAGAGAUCAUGAAGAACACCGAUUGCGAAGGCAGCUCACUGGACUGUAACUGACGUUGAGGUUCGAAAGCGUGGGUAGCAAACAGGAUUAGAUACCCGUGUAGUC
This 460-nucleotide ribosomal RNA is filed under the name uncultured bacterium. RNAcentral's name for it is "partial 16S ribosomal RNA". It matches the Rfam family "Bacterial small subunit ribosomal RNA", at positions 338 to 795 of the family's 1533-position model. The record is from RNAcentral.